RNAcentral lists this small RNA (939 nucleotides) under Pan troglodytes (chimpanzee). RNAcentral describes it as "processed transcript". Lineage: Eukaryota; Metazoa; Chordata; Mammalia; Primates; Hominidae. The record is from RNAcentral.
CUGGUUUCUUAAUUCAGCAAAGACGAGAGAGCCAGGGGCCGGCUGGUGAAACUGACUGCAGGUUAGUAAAAAAAAGAGGACCCAUAAAUGAUUCAAAGAAACCAGGCCUAUUUAGGGUCCCUUCUUGGAUAAUCAGUACGACCAGAGCUGUAAAUAACAACAACCAUCAUAGUGCUAGAAAUGGCAAGCUUCAUUAGACUGAAUUUUUAGCCAUGUCCUUGUACCAAAGAACAAGAGUUUGCACUGGCUGUUUAUAAAAUUGAUUCCACUGGCCUGCAGUUAUUAGGGUGAGAGUUCCCUUUCCCCCAGUAGUGGUUAUGUGUCCACACUACAUUCCUGUAUAAACCUUUGUGAUUGGAGCACAACUGUGAAGCUAGUUAGCCAGGAUUAGGAGUCUGGUUUAUAUUCCUAUAGGUAGAGUUCACUAAUCUUUAUCCUGGUCUUACUCUUAAUGGUCUAAUAGCCAGACCACAUGUCCUAGUGCAGCCCCCUUGCCCUCUGUCCUCACCGUCAGCCUUGUGCUCACAGCCUUCCUUGAUAACUUUGCCUUUCAGAUUGUGGAGAAGCAGCAGCAGAAGAUGGAUCAGUUGCGCUCACAAGUACAGAGCCUAGAGCAGGAAGUGGCUCAAGAAGAAGGAACAAGCCAGGCCCUGAGAGAGGAGGCCCAGCGAAGGGAUUCAGCCCUGCAGCAGCUGCGCACAGCCGUGAAGGAGCUUUCAGUGCAAAACCAGGACUUGAUUGAGAAGAAUCUGACACUCCAGGAACACCUGCGCCAGGCCCAACCAGGGUCUCCACCUUCACCAGACACGGCCCAGCUGGCACUUGAGCUGCACCAGGAGUUGGCCAGUUGCCUUCAAGAUCUGCAGGCUGUCUGUAGCAUUGUGACCCAGAGGGCCCAGGGCCAUGACCCCAAUCUCUCCCUGCUCCUGGGCAUUCACU